AAAACAAGAGGAAGAGAGAAAGAGUUCUCUGUUCACUGACAGAAAGAGGACAGAAUUAAUGACAACAUCGCAUAGAACUCCAAAGGAAAACUCAUGUGAUAAAUAUUCUUAGAGACUAAAAAUGUCAAGCUAUACAAUGAAAAUCUAGAGAUCACCCUGCAAAGCCACUCACUGGUGUACUAAGAUCUUCCAGGAGCUCUUCUGCUGUUUUAAAAAGCUUGAAUUGCUGCCAGACUCACAGCUUCCUGUGCGAUGGUGAUAACAUGUCUGACUUUGUUGCUGGCAGCUGGAGCGAAGGGGAAGACAAUGCCCUUUGACCUGUGAAAAGCAGUAUAAAGCUUAUCAGAUCCUCUCCAGAUAUCACUGAAGGAAAUGGGCUGGAAGAGUUG
This 389-nucleotide long non-coding RNA is filed under the name Struthio camelus australis. Its description in RNAcentral is "lncRNA (ENSSCUG00000002578.1)". The record is from RNAcentral. Lineage: Eukaryota; Metazoa; Chordata; Aves; Struthioniformes; Struthionidae.